AGAGUUUGAUCCUGGCUCAGGACGAACGCUGGCGGCGUGCCUAACACAUGCAAGUCGAACGGAGUAGAGACUUCGGUUUUUACUUAGUGGCGAACGGGUGAGUAACGCGUGAGAAACCUGCCUUUCAGUGGGGGACAACAGUUGGAAACGACUGCUAAUACCGCAUAAUGUUAUUUGGGGGCAUCCUUGAAUAACCAAAGAUUUAUUGCUGAAAGAUGGUCUCGCGUCUGAUUAGCUAGUUGGUGAGGUAACGGCUCACCAAGGCGACGAUCAGUAGCCGGUCUGAGAGGAUGAACGGCCACAUUGGGACUGAGAUACGGCCCAGACUCCUACGGGAGGCAGCAGUGGGGAAUAUUGGGCAAUGGGCGAAAGCCGGAUCCAGCAACGCCGCGUGAAGGAAGAAGGCCUUCGGGUUGUAAACUUCUUUACCAGGGACGAAGAACGUGACGUACCGGAGAAAAGCACG
RNAcentral lists this ribosomal RNA (466 nucleotides) under uncultured bacterium. RNAcentral describes it as "bacterial SSU rRNA". It matches the Rfam family "Bacterial small subunit ribosomal RNA", at positions 8 to 494 of the family's 1533-position model. The record is from RNAcentral.